UAACACGUAGGGGGCGAGCGUUGUUCGGAAUUACUGGGCGUAAAGGGCAUGUAGGCGGUUUGGUAAGCCUGACGUGAAAGGCUAUGGCUCAACCAUGGCACUGCGUUGGGAACUGCUGGACUUGAAUCAUGGAGAGGGAGCUGGAAUUCCAGGUGUAGGGGUGAAAUCUGUAGAUAUCUGGAAGAACACCAGUGGCGAAGGCGAGCUCCUGGCCAAUGAUUGACGCUGAGGUGCGAAAGUGUGGGGAUCAAACAGG
Molecule: ribosomal RNA, 256 nt
Filed under: uncultured bacterium
Lineage: Bacteria
Description: partial 16S ribosomal RNA
Rfam family: Bacterial small subunit ribosomal RNA
Source: RNAcentral